Molecule: long non-coding RNA, 668 nt
Organism: Morus notabilis
Lineage: Eukaryota; Viridiplantae; Streptophyta; Magnoliopsida; Rosales; Moraceae
Exons: 4
Source: RefSeq, a predicted model, not a curated record
CCCACUUUUCUCAUUACCGGCGACGACCUUCUUUCCACUAAAAAUGAUGGGACGAUCUUCUCUCCAGAGAUCAUGAAGCCAAAAUCAUGAGCUCGCAACUUCAAAGUUGAGAUUACCCGAGGCUUCUCUCCUCGAUCGCCGCCGCUGCCCCGAGACGAAGUGAAGAGAAGGCCAAUAGUCAUCGUCCGUCUCAACAAAAAAACUGUUGUCGAUCGAGAUCCGUCGCUGAUUGGCGAUCUCAAUCUACCUGACGGCCCUGACACCGACGAAGCUGUUCUGGCGACUUCGGUCUUUAUUUUAGUGUACGAGGGUAGAAAGGAAAACGAACAAGGGAAGCGAAGAGAGUUAAACUCAGAUUUUGCUAAGCAACUCAGGUAAAGGUAAGAAAAAAGUAGAACAGGAAGCAGGGGAGCUGGCUUCGUUGACUGCUGUACAUAUGGUUGGACCGAAGAAGCUGCACACGGAUUAUUUUGGAUAAAGGUAAGAACAAAGCAGAACAGUAAGCAAGGGAGUUGGCUUCAUUGACCACUGUACAUAUGGUUUGACCGAAGAAGCUGCACACGGAUUAUUUUGGGUUUGUAAAUACAUAUAUUUUGGAGUUAAACUCAUAAACCUUGGAUGACUGUAUAAUUUUAAUUAUGGCUAGGAAACCUGAUAGGAAUGGUGUA